Molecule: ribosomal RNA, 252 nt
Filed under: uncultured bacterium
Lineage: Bacteria
Description: partial 16S ribosomal RNA
Rfam family: Bacterial small subunit ribosomal RNA
Source: RNAcentral
UACGUAGGGUGCAAGCGUUAAUCGGAAUUACUGGGCGUAAAGCGUGCGCAGGCGGUUGUGCAAGACCGAUGUGAAAUCCCCGGGCUCAACCUGGGAACUGCAUUUGUGACUGCAUCGCUGGAGUACGGCAGAGGGGGAUGGAAUUCCGGCGUGAGCAGUGAAAUGCGUAGAUAUGCGGAGGAACACCGAUGGCGAAGGCAAUCCCCUGGGCCUGCACUGACGCUCAUGCACGAAAGCGUGGGGAGCAACAGG